GUCCAGCCAGCUCUGUGCUGGCCGCUGCCAGGACAGCGGUCAGAGGGGGCAGCGGUGGCGGCGAGUGGGCAGUGGGCAGCCAAGCUGCUGGUGUGCAGCACAAAUCCCAGCCUCUCCAAGGGACUUUGAAAUUCAUAAAGCAACAUGAGUAACUUAUUUUAAAUAUUUCCUCUUCCAGGUGGCCGUUGGACUCAUUACUAUGGCAUCUAUGAGUAGAAAAUUGGGAAUUUAAGAAGCAGAAUUUUCAAAAGCUAGAAGCUUACGUCCUGGAAAAGUUCAAUAAGAAACAGUGUUAGCUGGGAUGCAGCAUGCAUAUUCUCUCCUCAGGGUUACUGAUGAGCAAUCCAGAAUCACAGAAGCAUUUAGGUUGGAAAAGACAUUUAAGAUCAUCAAGUUCAACUAUGAACCCAGCACUGCCAAGCCCACCACUAAACCAUGUCCCCAAGCACCACAUCUAUGCAUCUUUUAAACACCCCCAGGGACAGGACUCAACUGUCUCCCCAGGCAGCCUGUGCCAGUGCUUGGCCACCCUUUUAGAGAAGAACUUUUUCCUUGUGCCCGAUCUGAACCUCCCUGGUGCAGCUUGAGGCCGUUUCCUCUUGUCCUGUCGCCUGUUACCUGGGAGCAGAGACCGACCCCCCUGCCCACAGCCCCUGCCAGGCACCUGUGGGGAGCAACAAGGUCCCCCCUGAGCCCCCUCCUCUCCAGGCUGAGCCCCCCCAGCCACCCCCCAUCAGCCUUGUGCCCCAGCCCCCU
Long non-coding RNA from Falco peregrinus (peregrine falcon), 756 nucleotides. RefSeq lists it as uncharacterized. The transcript is spliced from 3 exons. The record is from RefSeq and is a predicted model, not a curated record. NCBI's taxonomy places the organism in Eukaryota, Metazoa, Chordata, Aves, Falconiformes, Falconidae.